ACCUGCGGAGGGAUCAUUGCUGGAACGCGCUUCGGCGCACCCAGAAACCCUUUGUGAACUUAUACCUAUUUGUUGCCUCGGCGUAGGCCGGCCUCUUCACUGAGGCCCCCUGGAAACAGGGAGCAGCCCGCCGGCGGCCAACUAAACUCUUGUUUCUAUAGUGAAUCUCUGAGUAAAAACAUAAAUGAAUCAAAACUUUCAACAACGGAUCUCUUGGUUCUGGCAUCGAUGAAGAACGCAGCGAAAUGCGAUAAGUAAUGUGAAUUGCAGAAUUCAGUGAAUCAUCGAAUCUUUGAACGCACAUUGCGCCCUCUGGUAUUCCGGAGGGCAUGCCUGUUCGAGCGUCAUUUCAACCCUCAAGCCUGGCUUGGUGAUGGGGCACUGCCUUCUAACGAGGGCAGGCCCUGAAAUCUAGUGGCGAGCUCGCUAGGACCCCGAGCGUAGUAGUUAUAUCUCGUUCUGGAAGGCCCUGGCGGUGCCCUGCCGUUAAACCCCCAACUUCUGAAAAUUUGACCUCGGAUCAGGUAGGAAUACCCGCUGAACUUAA
This 547-nucleotide ribosomal RNA is filed under the name fungal sp. E15118H. RNAcentral describes it as "eukaryotic LSU rRNA". The stretch from base 194 to 347 matches the Rfam family "5.8S ribosomal RNA". Lineage: Eukaryota; Fungi. The record is from RNAcentral.